Long non-coding RNA from Gavialis gangeticus (Gharial), 293 nucleotides. RefSeq lists it as uncharacterized. Lineage: Eukaryota; Metazoa; Chordata; Crocodylia; Gavialidae. The record is from RefSeq and is a predicted model, not a curated record. The transcript is spliced from 2 exons.
UGUGCAUCUAGUCUCCUUUUGAAGAUCUCCAAGGUGUAAAAGGCUGUGUGAGGGCAAGACAGGCAGAAUAAUCAAGGUUGUGGACCUGGAGAAAUGGAACUAGAGAGCAACAAAACAAGGAGGUUAUCCCAGACCAAGCUGAGGGGUCACUUACAAAAAUAACAGCUGGUUGUAGUGUCCAGCUCAUGAUGCAACUAUGACAUCUGUUCUAUGUGACAAAUGACUAACCUGAACUGCUGGUAGAGAUUCCUUCAAAACAGACCUGUGAUGUUAGAUUAAAAUGGAUAUUUUUA